AGGGGAUUUGCAUGGACUGCACU
This 23-nucleotide microRNA is filed under the name Mus musculus (house mouse). Its description in RNAcentral is "mmu-miR-6928-5p". Lineage: Eukaryota; Metazoa; Chordata; Mammalia; Rodentia; Muridae. The record is from miRBase by way of RNAcentral.